Molecule: long non-coding RNA, 755 nt
Organism: Clupea harengus (Atlantic herring)
Lineage: Eukaryota; Metazoa; Chordata; Actinopteri; Clupeiformes; Clupeidae
Exons: 4
Source: RefSeq, a predicted model, not a curated record
GCGCAAAAUCUGAACAUCAAGAUUGAGCUGACUGAGCUAAAGGCACACCACACCUGUAAGCCGAGCAAUGCCUUUCAAACAUAAAACUGGUGAUGCAUGAAAUGCUUUUUCAAUGGACAGGAUAGCCAGCCCAUUCAUGCUCUCCUGCUCCAUGCUGCCCCUCGGUCCCACCGUAAGUUUUCGGCUCCGCGGAUCCCUGGGCUUCCUACCACGCAAGAGGAGCAGGCGUCACCGUGGCAAAGCCAAGAGCUUCCCCAAGGAUGACCCCAGCAAGCCAGUCCACCUCACAGCUUGGCUCGGCUACAAAGCUGGCAUGACUCGCAUCGUGCGUGAAGUCGACAGACCUAGAUCAAAGGUCAAGAAGUGGUUGCGGCUGUGACUAUUGUGGAGACUAUGAUGGUGGUUGGAGUUGUGGGAUAUGUCAUGACUCCUCGUGGCCUGAAGGCUUUUAAGACUGACCAGUGCAAGCGCCGCUUCUAUAAGAACUGUCUCUGCUUGUGCAGUCCAACCGUCGUGCUUUGGAGAAAGAUCGACCAAGUUCGACGCCACUUCCAAAUUCGGACACGGUCGCUUCCAGACAGCCGAGGAAAAGAAGGCCUUCAUGGUAAGCACAUUGCCUUUUUUUACCUGGUGUCUCCAGAGGUUUGGGGCUUUUUGCCCUGUGAAGGAUGAAAUUACUUGAGUAGAAGAGACUGCUCUGGUCAUGUGUCGUGUUGGAAGCUGCCAUUUUGGCCCAUGAACUGCGCAGCCUGAAC